UUUGUCCUUUGUCUCCUUUGGCACAUUAUGUUUGAAUGAAAUUUGGGGUGGAAACUGGAAAAAGAGGACUCUGGCUCUGGCUGUGUGAGGAUAACACGGAAUUAAAUCCUAUUAGCUUCUUGAAUUAAUUUUAAAAGAAAGUGAGAGGAAGGGAGACUUUUACACAUCUUUAGAGAAGAGCAGCAGCGGGCUAAAUCUCACAGAACAUAUCUCAGAGAUGCUAAUGUAAGGUCUUCAAGGAAGGCAGGUUUACUGAGAGCUUCCCUGAGUCACCAAGGAAACCACAUUCUCCUUUCAUCUUUCUCCUCUCCCAAUCCUCCUCAAAAGAGGCGAGUAGUUCCAAGAGAUACUGGAGUACUGGAAAGAGGAAAUACGAAGACUUUGUUACUUUUCAUGCUUUAAAGUUCUGCCUGGAGCAAAGAGCUGAGUUUGAGACUUGGGAGGAAUGAGUUAUGGGCCACCACCGGCGCCCAAGAAACAAAUCACCUGGCUCGGCUUUCCCCACACAGGGCCAUGGAACUGAAAAACCCCACUGUUUUGUCUGGCUCUCAUCUUGAACAGUAAAUAGUCUGGAAAAGACCUAGGUCCCAAGUUACCUGAUGACCCAGGAUUCCCCAACAGGUCAAGGUGAGAAGCUGGGAACUACCAGAAAACCCUCAAUUCUAAGAGUAAGGGUGGACCAUCUUAUGGAGCCGUCAAUUUAUCUGAUGGUAAGCACUUGAAAAUAUUAAUGCAUACCUUAAUUUUCUGUAAAUGUACACACCUAAUGUAUGUACCUAAAAUAUUAUGCAUAUAUUUAUUUUGUAUUAAAUGUAAAAUUCACAUAAACCUUUAUAGAGAGAUGGAACAAUGCAACAAAUUUUGAACGUAUCCCUUUAGAAGUCUCACAGCUGGCAGGUGCAUCCCUUCCUCCAGAAGUCAAGUUUGAGAAGCAUCUUAGUGGGCCAUAGCCCAUCCCCUAGAAACACAGAGCCAGGAAGGAGUUGGGGCCUAAAGAAGAAAAUUAAUGCUAAUAUUGCAGAGGCCUGGGUGGGGAGUAGCUGAGCAGCACAGGAAGCUGCUCAGAGGAAAACAGGGUCCAGGAUUGGAGUCCAGAUGUUCCAAGAAUUAUCCCGAUGAGGUACAGGAGCCAUAACAAGAUAAAUAGCAAGAGCCAGGACCUUUCUUGUAGUAGAUCAAGAGAGAUCUUGAGAGAGCUUCCUCUCUCUCUUAGUUUGAGCUCCCCCUCCCCCACUGCCCCAAGCACACCCUGAGAUAAGAAUUCAAACGCAAGCAGUUUACUUAGUAGUUUACUUAGUAGGGGAUCCUAGGAAACACCAAUUGGGAGUGGAGAAGUGAGAUGGAGUAAGAGAGGCCAUCCAUUAGGGAUGCAUAGUCAAGCAAGCUACCACAGUGAACAACUGGAGCUUAAUGUCUCUGGGGAAUUCCGGAAGAUACCAUAGAACACAUGAUUCCACAGCAUCUCACUUGACGUGCAAGGGCACUGGGGUACUUUACACGCCAACUUCCAACAAUCACUGGUUGGAGGCUGUUGGGGGUGAAGAGUGGUCAUGAAUUCCCUGCAUUUGGGCCUGCUUGAGUGGAGCUCACUCCAGAAGACCAAAAAAAGCCCUCAGGCAAAGAGAGGCCAGGGCUGGCAGUUUGAGAUGAACAUGCACCCUUUUCAGGGUAAGGGUGAGGGGGUAUGGGCAAGGUGGACACAGCAACUGCUGUAGCCUCUGCAUGGAGGGCUCUGGUCCUCCUAAUGAUUGAGCAUCAUACACGGUGGUUGAUCUUUAGAUAAAAUGAUGUAUCAUCACCACCAAAAGCUUUUGUAUCAGGCAAUGUAGAUGCUUUCUAUUUGGUUCUCCCAACAAACCUAUGGGAAGAUGCUGUGAUUACAGACAAGCUAAUUGGCCAUUACAGUUGAGUAGCUUCUGCAGAGUCCUGCCACGGGUAAAGCUGGGAUCUCAACCUCAACUCUGUGGUUAUAACCUCUGCAUAUGUGGCCAAUAUAGAAUGCCUGCCCAGUCACACCCUCUUUUGCUCAUUACUGCCCUACCCAUGGCCCUGCCAGGAGGCACAGUUAGGUUUUUGUAACAUGUGCCUGAGCUUUCCCACCUUACCUGUCACUUGAGGUCCCUCAUACAGUUGUAGCCAGCCUAUAGCUGAAGCUGAGUUCAUCUGAAAUCUUCUCCACUCACCCGCAUGGUGCCUGGUCUGAGAUGUCUGAAAACACUUGAGACUGGCUGGGCAUCUCUCAUUCUCUCUCUCUAUGGCCUCUUCAUAUAGCUAGCUUGGGCUUCCUCACAGCAUGGUGAUCUUGGAGAAGUUGGAAUUCUUCCAUGGCUGCUGGUUUCUCCCAGAGUGAGUGUGCCAAAGCAUUGCUUUCACUGUAUUCUAUUUCUCAAAAGUCACCAGCCUGCUCAGACUCAAAGGAUAGAAUACCUUCCAUCUCUCCAUGAGGGAAUGUAUGCAUACAGGGAAAGAGCAAAUUGAGGGAGGGUAGCCAUCUUGGAGACAAACCAUCCCAUAGCCACUGGCUUUUUACUUCAAGCACUGGCAACUCUAUUUGAGACAUUAUCUGCCUAUGGCAGAUGGCAUUCCAGAGAGUUCACACUCCCAGGAGCAGUUCUUAACUGCAACUCAAAGGGAGUCUAAAUGUUCCAACUUCCUCACACUUGACUGAGCUAAAUCAGAGGUAGAAUCUGCAUAGUCCCCAGAGUGAUUGAGCCACAAUCACCCAGAGUAGACACCUGCUUCUUGCCAUACCCACAGUGGUUGCCUUACCCUCUCCAACUCAAUUCUCCACUGUUCUACCUGCACCUCCUGAGAUCUCCUCUCCAAAAAAAACAACUUCAGCAAAAAGACUAUUAGAACUAGUACACAAAUCCAAUAAAGUUGCAGGAUACAAAACUAA
Long non-coding RNA from Felis catus (domestic cat), 2899 nucleotides. RefSeq lists it as uncharacterized. Lineage: Eukaryota; Metazoa; Chordata; Mammalia; Carnivora; Felidae. The transcript has 2 exons. The record is from RefSeq and is a predicted model, not a curated record.